This 392-nucleotide ribosomal RNA is filed under the name uncultured bacterium. RNAcentral's name for it is "partial 16S ribosomal RNA". It matches the Rfam family "Bacterial small subunit ribosomal RNA", at positions 523 to 918 of the family's 1533-position model. The record is from RNAcentral.
AUACGGAGGAUCCGAGCGUUAUCCGGAUUUAUUGGGUUUAAAGGGUGCGCAGGCGGCCAUUUAAGUCAGCGGUUAAAUCGUGGGGCUCAACCCCAUUCUGCCGUUGAUACUGGGUGGCUUGAUUGCGGUCGAGGUUGGCGGAAUUCGUUGUGUAGCGGUGAAAUGCAUAGAUAUGACGAAGAACACCGAUUGCGUAGGCAGCCGACCAGACCGCAAAUGACGCUCAUGCACGAAAGUGCGGGGAUCGAACAGGAUUAGAUACCCUGGUAGGCCGCACAGUAAACGAUGAAUACUUGUUUUCGGCGAUAUAAUGUCGGAGGCAAAGCGAAAGCGAUAAGUAUUCCACCUGGGGAGUAUGCCGGCAACGGUGAAACUCAAAGGAAUUGACGGGU